CGAAUGCUGACAUAAGUAACGAUAAAGCGGGUGAAAAGCCCGCUCGCCGGAAGACCAAGGGUUCCUGUCCAACGUUAAUCGGGGCAGGGUGAGUCGACCCCUAAGGCGAGGCCGAAAGGCGUAGUCGAUGGGAAACAGGUUAAUAUUCCUGUACUUGGUGUUACUGCGAAGGGGGGACGGAGAAGGCUAUGUUGGCCGGGCGACGGUUGUCCCGGUUUAAGCGUGUAGGCUGGUUUUCCAGGCAAAUCCGGAAAAUCAAGGCUGAGGCGUGAUGACGAGGCACUACGGUGCUGAAGCAACAAAUGCCCUGCUUCCAGGAAAAGCCUCUAAGCAUCAGGUAACAUCAAAUCGUACCCCAAACCGACACAGGUGGUCAGGUAGAGAAUACCAAGGCGCUUGAGAGAACUCGGGUGAAGGAACUAGGCAAAAUGGUGCCGUAACUUCGGGAGAAGGCACGCUGAUAUGUAGGUGAAGUCCCUCGCGGAUGGAGCUGAAAUCAGUCGAAGAUACCAGCUGGCUGCAACUGUUUAUUAAAAACACAGCACUGUGCAAACACGAAAGUGGACGUAUACGGUGUGACGCCUGCCCGGUGCCGGAAGGUUAAUUGAUGGGGUCAGCGCAAGCGAAGCUCUUGAUCGAAGCCCCGGUAAACGGCGGCCGUAACUAUAACGGUCCUAAGGUAGCGAAAUUCCUUGUCGGGUAAGUUCCGACCUGCACGAAUGGCGUAAUGAUGGCCAGGCUGUCUCCACCCGAGACUCAGUGAAAUUGAACUCGCUGUGAAGAUGCAGUGUACCCGCGGCAAGACGGAAAGACCCCGUGAACCUUUACUAUAGCUUGACACUGAACAUUGAGCCUUGAUGUGUAGGAUAGGUGGGAGGCUUUGAAGUGUGGACGCCAGUCUGCAUGGAGCCGACCUUGAAAUACCACCCUUUAAUGUUUGAUGUUCUAACGUUGACCCGUAAUCCGGGUUGCGGACAGUGUCUGGUGGGUAGUUUGACUGGGGCGGUCUCCUCCUAAAGAGUAACGGAGGAGCACGAAGGUUGGCUAAUCCUGGUCGGACAUCAGGAGGUUAGUGCAAUGGCAUAAGCCAGCUUGACUGCGAGCGUGACGGCGCGAGCAGGUGCGAAAGCAGGUCAUAGUGAUCCGGUGGUUCUGAAUGGAAGGGCCAUCGCUCAACGGAUAAAAGGUACUCCGGGGAUAACAGGCUGAUACCGCCCAAGAGUUCAUAUCGACGGCGGUGUUUGGCACCUCGAUGUCGGCUCAUCACAUCCUGGGGCUGAAGUAGGUCCCAAGGGUAUGGCUGUUCGCCAUUUAAAGUGGUACGCGAGCUGGGUUUAGAACGUCGUGAGACAGUUCGGUCCCUAUCUGCCGUGGGCGCUGGAGAACUGAGGGGGGCUGCUCCUAGUACGAGAGGACCGGAGUGGACGCAUCACUGGUGUUCGGGUUGUCAUGCCAAUGGCACUGCCCGGUAGCUAAAUGCGGAAGAGAUAAGUGCUGAAAGCAUCUAAGCACGAAACUUGCCCCGAGAUGAGUUCUCCCUGACUCCUUGAGAGUCCUGAAGGAACGUUGAAG
Molecule: ribosomal RNA, 1572 nt
Filed under: Escherichia coli
Lineage: Bacteria; Pseudomonadati; Pseudomonadota; Gammaproteobacteria; Enterobacterales; Enterobacteriaceae
Description: partial 23S ribosomal RNA
Rfam family: Bacterial large subunit ribosomal RNA
Source: RNAcentral